Molecule: transfer RNA, 70 nt
Filed under: Marmota monax (woodchuck)
Lineage: Eukaryota; Metazoa; Chordata; Mammalia; Rodentia; Sciuridae
Description: tRNA.Undet
Source: RNAcentral
GGGGUUGUAGCUCAGGGGUAGAGUGCAUGCUAGCAUGCAUGAGGCACUGGGUUUGAUCCUCAGUCCCCCA